This 1537-nucleotide long non-coding RNA is filed under the name Equus caballus (horse). Its description in RNAcentral is "lncRNA (ENSECAG00000059133.1)". The record is from RNAcentral. Lineage: Eukaryota; Metazoa; Chordata; Mammalia; Perissodactyla; Equidae.
UCACUUAGCGUAAUACACUCAAGGUCCAUCCAUGUUGUCACAAAUGGCCGGAUUUCGUCAUUUCUUAUGGUUGAGUAGCAGUCCAUCGUGUAUAAAUCCUUAUUAUGUCCUUCCUCUGCUUGCUUUAGGUAGACCCAAGUUUCUGGCCUAUAUGAUUUUCCUUCUGCCUGAAGAACGUCUCUUAGCAUUUCUUGGAAGGCAGGUUUCCUGGCGAUUAAUUUGCUCAACUUUUAUUUGUCUGAGAAACUAUUUAUUCCUUUUUCACUUUUGAAUGAUAAUUAUCUGGCAGUAGAAUUCCAGAUUAUGACUACAGAGGAUUCUGAUUCAGGGAGGCAGAUCUCGGUUUUGACACUCUGGAUUCCACUCUUGCGCCAGAGUUUACGUGGUGGUUUGCCCUGCCAGCUCAGUUCUGUGAGGAGUCUAAAAUAUAGGUGGAUUCAGUUUUUCCAGCGUUUUCUUGUUUUAAGGAUGGGAUUGGUGAUCUCUGCCCUCUCUAUAUGUUGGGGCUGAAACCAGAAGCUUUAUUUGUGACCAUUUUUGAAAUAUGCCACAAUCAGUAUAAGCCUAUGAGUUUCAAAUAUCAUGGUUGACAUAAAUGGUGUCAUGAGGUGGGAUCCAAAGGAGGUGACCCCUCGAGAGACGAUGCGCCCUGGAGCCAAGCAAGGUACUCACACCGAGGCCCUUGAAUUCAUUGUUUCCAGGAGUCGCUGCCUGCUUUCAGGUUGGUGAGUCCCCUCUUGGAUUUCGGGCUCCACGCCCCUGGGGAUCUGAGCCUCUGACUUUAUUUGGGAUCCGGAGAGGCUUUGUCCUCUCGAGGGAGGGACUUUGUCCUUCCGGUUCGAGGCUCUGUCCUUGGGCUCAAGGCAUCAUCCUUGGUGAGUAUUCAAUUGUUUUCUGAAGGCAGCACAGCUCCUUUUGGGGCUCGGGCUUGCUGAAAAUCCAGGUGUUUUUCUUUGGUUUCCAGAUUCCUUUUGGAAUCAGGGAUGAGAAUCCGACAACUUUCUUUUGUUUUUAGAUGCUUUUGGGGAUGAGGGCUAGGACCUUAGCAACUUCCUCGGGUUUUCAGAGGAAAUUUCAGAAAUGGGACCCCGAUCACCUAAAUGUUCGGAGGGAAACCCUCCUUCAGGGACCCCAGCUGAGUUUAUACUUGAGAACUUUGGGCCCCCCGCAUGCAUGUUUCUAACUAAAUGGGCCAAACUGACCAAGAGUAGUUUGGAAUUACAGUGGCCAUUAUGGGGAACUUUAGAUCUCCCUAAACUCAUUUUUCUUAAAAAAACAAAUUGGAAGACCGCAGCUCUAAAAUUAAGCAGAACAAGUGAUACGUUGAUUUUAAUUGGUACCUGGAGGCUUCCAAGUGUGCACAGAGCUCUAAAAUUGUCUCACUGCAAGAUACUGUAUCUAAACUAGCCAAAACAGCUGAAAAACUGAGGGAGAAUAAAAUGGCUUCUGAGGCCUCUCCUUCCCUUCCCCUGUUUUCUUUGUCUUAUGCUCAGGCCCUACCUCCAAUCCCANNNNNNNNNNNNNNNNNNNNNNNNNA